CACAAGUAAUCACAAUGCAGAAAAAAUUUUCCCUUUGCCCAUGCAAUAUUUUUCUAUGAAAAAGUCUUGUUUCUAAGAUGGAACUUCAGAAACAAUAGAAAUUUUGGCAGACUCUCUUAUUAAGUUAGCAGUUAGUGAGAAAAAAUGUACUGCUUUUGGUGGAUGUAAUACGAAUAUAAAUUUGGAGAAUGUUUGCUUAAAGGUGAAAACAGUGUUUAUUCAAAGUUGAAGCAAAACAUGAGCGAUUCUUUGGAAGGAGUUGGCUGUUCUGUCCAUAUUCGGAUAACGCUCCUGGAGCAUCAUUGGAUGUCCACCCUAUUGACAUUGAAAACAAAAUAAGCUGGAUAUGAAAAUAGUAGAAACUAUUGUACAGUGGAAAUGGAGCAUAAUUGUAACUGCAAGGAAUUUGAUAAGCAAGCUGUGCAAAACAAGGAACCGUUCCAUACAGCCACAUCAAUGGGGAAAUAGUUAAAGAAAGAAGUGAGUUGGGGGUCUGGCCCCACAGCCAAAAGUGGUUAAAGUUCCACGCACUCCACUUCGGUGGCCCAGGUUCAUGGGUUCGGAUCCACUCAUCAGCAGUGCUGUGGAGGCAUAUGAAGUAGAGGAAGACUGAAGAUUGGCACAGAUGUUAGCUCGGGGCAAAUCUUCCUCACACACACAAAAAGUUUCCAUGAAAGUUUCUUCAUUUUAAAAGAAGAUAAAUGAUACAGCAUGAAGGUAGCUGUCUGCAAACCAGGAAGAAAGCCUUCACCAGAUGCCAAAUCUGCUGGCACCUUGAUCUUGGACUUACCCGCCUCCAGAGCCGUGAGGAAUAAAUGUCUGUCGUUUAAGCUGCCCAGUCCAUGAUAUUUCUUAUAGCGGCCCAAGUUAACUAAGACGCCAUAAUUAACAUAUUUUUACAAGAUGGACUAAUUCUAAUCACGUGCACGUAAUCUUUCUAGUUUAUGAAAUUUCUGUUACAGUUCUUUCUUCUGAUUAAUUUAAGAUUUGGAGAUAUCUGUGAGUUUUGUAUUUUUGUCAUUGUUGUUAACCCAUCUCAGUGUAAAGAAAGUUUGGGUUUUUAUUAUGUUCAAAUUCUAUAGAUUACUUAAUAUUUAACUUUCUAACAUUUAAUCUUAAGAUUAGAAUUAUAAAACUUCAAGAAUAUUUACAAUGAGAAACAUAUCGUUCAGCCCAAGCAAUAUCGACAAAUACCCCCACUGAGGAGCAGUUUCUCUAUUAAAUAUGAGAUGGAAAACUUCGUACUAUAUUCUAAUGAAUAACUUUAUGAAUAGAAAUAAUAAUCAUGAACUAUAUUUUAUUGCCAUUUAUCAAGGGCACAUUUCAUUUUGGAUUGGCUUUGAUGUAAACCAGGCAGUGGUUUUCUAACACCAGAUUAUAUGUAAAUGGUUGGUUGCAGUUUUGUAAAAGUGAGAAGAAAAAAAAAAGGAAGGAAGCAUGUAUAUCUCCUCCGCUUUCUCCUGUAAAAGUUACAAUAUGGUUAAAACCCACAGAAACAAAGAAAACAGGAGAGGAGAUGAUAGCAAGGUGAUAGCAACAAAAGGUUGAAAUGUGGAAGGUGUACAGAGGAGGGCUAACCACCCCAGCACAUCAGAGGAAAGCCAAUCCAAAGCCAGCAGCUGGAAUAGCACUGCAGACGCUGGUAAGAUGCCAGGGCUGCAGGCACCUGGUGCCUCUAAAAAGUCUGCAUGCAGAUGGAGCGGAAAAUGGGGAGUUUGCAGGAAAUCUUCGUAAGAAGAAUUCCCAACUCGGUUACCUGAUCCAGUGCACUUAGGAUGGCCAGACUUUUGUGGAAUGUCUUGGACUGAACAUCAGGGAAGGAUUUAGCCAUAGACUAUUUCUGAAGAAUAGUAUCAAGUAAAUCCUGCUCAAAAGCCAACUAUUGCAUCAUAGGUACAUUCCGUCUCUAUUUAAGUCCUUGUCUACUGUCUACACAGCCAGACAACUCCUUCCCUAACACACUAUCGGAAGAGUGGAAGCACACUCUGGGGGAGUAGGGGGCUAAGCCAGGCGGUCUCUUGAUUCAGGGUCAAUAGGCAGAGAUGAGUGUGGGGCAUCAAGAUGAAUACAGGAAGUUUAAGAGAAAAUUGGCAUAGUGACUGGUAAGACCCUUCCAGCCACCCCCCACACCAUGCUUGAAACAGCAGUAUUUAGACUUAUAUUCCCUUGAAAUUUUCUUAAGAGAAAAGGCUUACAGAACUCAAAAUUUAAAAAUAUCCAACAAAACAGCUGGGAACAUUUCUGUGGUAGAGUAUAAAAAACUAUAAAAAAAAUUAUUUAAUGAAAAUAGCAACUUAGUCUUCUCCUCCCUGCAUCUUGCAGUGUGACAUUGCAGAGCUUCUCAUCAAGAAGCGGGGACAAUUUCCCCACCCAUUGAAUGUGUGGUAGCUAUGUGGUUUGAUUUGGCCAAAGGAACAUUAGCAAACAUGAUACAAAACAGAUGCUUAAAAACCAUUCGCGCACUGGAGUUUGCUCUCUUGGUGCACUUGGAAUCCUGAGACAACCAUAUGAACAAGCUCAUUCUAGCCUGCUGGAAGGUGAGAGGAAGACAACAAAGAUGCCCCAGCCAACGGCCUAUCAACCGCCACACAAGAGAUCAUAGAUCAUCCAGCUACCAGUCAACAUGGCAGUUGAUCAAAAAAGCAUGAGCUAACCCAGAGAGAUCAGCUGGGCCAGCUCAGACUCCACCUGAACCACAGAAUCAUGAGCUAAAUAAGUGAUUUAUUAUUUUAAGCUACUCAUUUUGAAGAUGAAUUAUUUCACAGCAAAAACUAACCGGUACACUGGCUGACCAAUCUCUUGUAAUACUCAGCAUGGAAUAAGACCCAUUUUUGGACGUGGAACUUCCUAUCAGCUUUGCGGGACCUAAUUUUGACCAAGGGAAAAAAAAGUCAAGUACAGUCUUAACUCACAGAUGAGAAAAACACUUAUUUAAAAAAUUUGUUUUAUCUGUGUCUUAGUUUUCUAAGAACUAGGAUAUAACAAAACUAGCAAAGACAAAAGAAUAAAACAUUAUAAAAACUUAUUUAAUGGCCUUGGAGAGAUGAGAGAUGAUAUUUCACUAUGUAACAUGAAGAGAAAGUUAUAAAAGCAGAACCUUUAAGAAUAAAAACGUGCUAUUGGAAUUUUUAAAAAUGAUAGCAGAAAUGGAAAACCGAAUAGAACAUUGGAAGAUAUAAUUGAGAAAACCUGCUAGAAUAAAAAACAGUAAGACAAAGUGAAAAGCAAAUGGAAGGGAAAGGAGAAAAAAAUUUGAGAAUCAGUUUAAGAAGCUGAGCAUGAAUAAUAGACAUUUAAGAGAGAGAGAGUAGAAAAAUAGAGAAGAAAUUAUCAAAGAAAUCAUUCAAGAUUUUUUUCAGAAGUUAAGAACACUAAUAUUCCAGAUUAGUGCACUAUAGUUUUAAAAAGACUGAGGUAGGGCAUAUAACUUUGAAAGCUUACGACUCUAGAAACAAAGAUCCUAAAAGCAUACAGAGAGGAGAGGAAAGGAAAAAAAAUGUUCAUAAGUAAAAUUUCUGGAGUAAGAAUGUUAUUGGACUGCUGAAUGAGUAACUUUUUAGAUUACUGGAGAUUAAAAAGCUAAAGAUCGUUGAAAGUUAAAAAGCACUGAAAGCUAAACACCUUAAAAAUGUGGAAGGGAAAUAAUUCUCAACUAGACUGAUAUACCUAGUGAGCCUAUAUCAAAUGUGACAAUGACCUAAUGACAUUUGCAGGCAUCAAGAUUUUAAAGUUUUUACUGCCCAUGCAGCUUUUCCCAGGAAGUUAUCAGAGAUGUUUCCUCAAAAGAGGAGAUAAAACAGGAAGGGAGGAAAACAUGGAUUCCAGGAAACAACGAAUCUAACACAGGAUGAUGGAGACCGUCAGCAGGCAUCCUGAGCAAGCUGACACACUUGGGGUGAGAAGGGGGAGGACUCCAUAGCGAUGUCGCAAAGAAGAUGAAAUUGAUACAACAUUGGAUGCAUUGGGAACAUGUGGAGGAGGAUGGGAGAGAACUUUCAUGCUGGGUUCCGUAUACUCAUUUAUUAUGAGGUUGAAUCCAUGUAGCACCUGUAGUGAAAACGUUUUAGUAUAGAAGAAUUGUGCUGUACAUGCAGUAAAUGCAAACUUCCUAUAAAUUAGUCUCCAAAAAAAUGAGACUUUGCUUUUAACAUGAACUGUAAAUUAUAUUUUUACAGAGCCAAUAAGGCUACUGAUUUUAAGAUGUUUCAAAUUCAAACCAAAGUUUCAAGAGUGGGGGUAUCCUGUAGGCUGCAUAUAUUUAAAUGUGGUCAGUUACAUGCAUUGAUUCCUCCACGAACCAUGGAGUUAAUGAAUACCUUAUGAUGAAUUAUUCAUACCACUAUAACCAUGAGCGUCUUCCCCAGGAGAAAAUCAUUCUAUAAAGACACUAAGGGGAUGGUUGUCUGCCAAAAGCCAAGAUUUGGGGACAGCCUUUCAGAAGCGGUGCUGUCCCAAGGACAGCCAGCAUCCUGCUUGGUACCCACAACGCCCGGCAGCAUAGUGCAUUUCCCAUGAAGUCCCCUGAUUCUAAACUAGAACAAAGGAUACUGCUGUCAGAACAAUUGUCUUAUACAUUUAGAUGUAAGAAUUUAUUGAUUUCCUCUGUCCCGUUACUGGGCACCACCUCCACAAUUCACUCUGGAAUUGAUUCAUGUGUUCUAAGUACAGUAUGAG
Molecule: long non-coding RNA, 4674 nt
Organism: Equus caballus (horse)
Lineage: Eukaryota; Metazoa; Chordata; Mammalia; Perissodactyla; Equidae
Source: Ensembl